AGUACACGUGAGUGACCUGCCUUUUAGACUGGAACAACUUACCGAAAGGUGAGCUAAUGCCGGAUGAGUUAUAUAAGUGCAUGUUUAUAUAGGAAAAUUGGGGAGACCUGACGCUGAAAGAUGGACUCGCGUCCCAUUAGCUAGUUGGUAGGGUAAUGGCCUACCAAGGCGACGAUGGGUAGCCGGCCUGAGAGGGUGGCCGGCCACACUGGGACUGAGACACGGCCCAGACUCCUACGGGAGGCAGCAG
Molecule: ribosomal RNA, 250 nt
Filed under: uncultured bacterium
Lineage: Bacteria
Description: partial 16S ribosomal RNA
Rfam family: Bacterial small subunit ribosomal RNA
Source: RNAcentral